AUGCUCUUGCUUAUUGACUCUGGCAGCACACACACGUUUGUAAAUAAGAGCUUUGCAGAGCGUGCUGGUUGUACUAUUCAGUCAGUCCCAACAGUUUCAGUUAAGGUAGCAAAUGGACAAAUUUUGUCAUCUGAUGCUCAAGUACAAGGGUUACAGUGGUGGACACAAGGAUCUACAUUUGUCACUGACAUGAGGGUCCUGGAGCUUGGGGCCUAUGAUGCCAUAUUAGGCAUGGACUGGCUAGAGCAGUUCAGUCCUAUGAUCUGCCAUUGGCGUCAGAAAACAUUAACAUUCGAUUAUCUGGGAAAAUCUAUUACACUGCAGGGUGUCCUUUCUAAACCACAAGAGUCACUCCAGGAAAUGUCUGUGGAACAGCUAAAUAAGUGGAUUUCUGGGAAUGAGGUCUGGGCCAUGGCUAUGAUUGAUCCUAUACAGCAAACAACAAAAUCUGUACCCAACAUAGUGCAAUCAGAUAUGCAGUCUUUACUCGAGGAAUAUCAUGAUGUUUUUGAUCAGCCCACUACUUUGCCACCACAUCGUGCUUUGGAUCAUUCGAUCUCGUUAGAACCAGGAGCUCAUCCAACAAACAGUCGCCCCUACCGGUACUCUCCAUUGCAAAAGGACGAGAUCGAACGUCAGGUCUCGGAAAUGCUUGACAGAGGGGUGAUUCAGACAAGCAUGAGUCCGUUCGCGUCUCCGGUGCUGUUAGUUAAAAAGAAGGACGGCACUUGGCGAUUUUGUGUUGAUUAUCGUCGCUUGAAUUCCAUAACUUUGAAGAACAAGUUUCCCCUACCGGUCGUUGAUGAGUUGCUGGACGAAUUGGCUGGCACUAAAUUUUUCUCCAAGUUAGAUUUGCGCGCAGGAUACCAUCAAAUUCGCAUGAGGCCAGAGGAUGAAGAAAAGACAGCCUUUAAAACGCAUCACGGCCACUUUCAAUUCCGAGUGAUGCCAUUUGGAUUAACGAAUGCGCCAGCCACAUUUCAGUGCAUUAUGAAUCUCAUCUUUGCUAAAUACCUCCGCAAGUUUGUGAUAGUCUUCCUGGACGAUAUCUUGGUCUACAGUUCAUCUUGGGCAGAGCAUUUAGAGCAUCUGCGUCUGGUAUUCGAAACACUUCGUCAGGCUCAAUUCUUUGCUAAGUUAUCCAAGUGUUCUUUUGGGCAGAACAGUAUUCAGUAUCUUGGCCAUAUUAUCUCUGAUUCCGGUGUUGCAACCGAUCCCGAGAAAACAGUGGUGAUGGAACAGUGGCCAAUUCCUAAGACAGCAACUGAACUACGAGGAUUCCUUGGCCUAACAGGUUAUUACCGUAAAUUUGUUAAACAUUAUAGUCUGAUUGCUAAACCACUGUCCCAACUUCUGACCAAAAAGGGUUUCUACUGGAAUGAACAAGCAACACAAGCAUUUCUUGCUCUGAAACAAGCUAUGGCACAGGCACCUGUCCUGGCUUUGCCCAAUUUUUCCGAGCCCUUCACCGUGGAAACUGACGCUUGUGACACUGGAGUGGGGGCAGUGUUAAUGCAGAAAGGGCAUCCAAUUGCAUACAUGAGCAAGGCUCUUGGGAUACUUAACUGUAAAAUGUCCAUCUAUGAAAAAGAAUUCCUUGCUGUGAUUAUGGCUGUGGAUAAGUGGCGUCCUUAUUUACAGCGCGGCCCAUUUCAGAUAGUCACCGAUCAUAAGAGCCUCUGCAACCUAGAGGAUCAAAUUUUGACUACUGAUUUGCAACGCAAGGCAAUGGCCAAGCUCGUGGGUUUACAGUUUCAGAUUAAGUACAGAAAGGGCAGUGAUAAUGGUGCUGCUGAUUCCUUGUCUCGAGUGGGCCAUUUAUUGGAAGCACAUGCCAUUUCCACCUUGCAACCUGAUUGGGUCCAGGAGGUUUCCAAUUCCUAUGUCACUGACACAGUGGCCACUCAGUUAUUACAAGAGCUGGCAAUUCAAUCACCUAAUGCAAAAGGUUAUGCAUUGAAGAAAGGCCUCAUUACUUACAAAGGCAGAAUGUAUAUUGGUGCAAAUCUUGCCCUACAAACUAAGCUGAUAGCAGCUCACCAUGAUACUGCAGUGGGAGGCCAUUCAGGUAUUCAGGCCACAUACCACAGAUUGAAGCAGCUGUAUUAUUGGCCAGGUCUUAAGGUUGCUGUGGAAAAUUAUAUCCAUCAAUGUAUAGUGUGUCAACAAGCAAAACACACUAAUACAAAACCAGCUGGCCUUCUGCAACCCUUGCCACCCCCCGACAGUCCUUGGACUGAAUUGACAAUGGAUUUCAUGGAGGGUCUUCCUAAUUCAGAGGGUGCAAAUUCAAUAUUGGUGGUCGUUGACCGCUUAACAAAGUAUGCUCACUUUCUGCCCUUGCAUCAUCCUUUCACAGCAACUUCAGUGGCCAAAGUUUUCCUGGAUAAUGUGGUGAAACUACAUGGUAUUCCCAAAACCAUUAUCUCUGAUCGUGAUAAGAUCUUCACUAGUAAGUUUUGGAGAAACCUCCUGCAAUCCAUGGGUAUUGAGCUCCACUACAGCACAGCUUACCAUCCGCAAACAGAUGGUCAGAGCGAACGAGUAAAUCAAUGUUUGGAGCAGUAUCUUCGUUGUGCUGUACAAGACAAUCCUCGUCAUUGGCGUCGUUGGCUAUCCAUGGCAGAGUUCUGGUACAAUUCCAGUUUUCAUACUGCUCUUCAAUGCUCACCAUUCCAAGCUUUGUAUCACAUCGCCCCAAAUUUUGGAGGAAUGCCUAACCUUACCGUGUCCAAUGACUCGCCAGCUGCUAGUGUUGUUAUCGACUAUAAGGCACAGACUGAACUUUUGCGUGCUCAGCUGAUACGAGCCCAGCAACGCAUGAAGAGCUAUGCUGACAAGAACAGGACUGAACGUCAGUUUCAACCUGGUGAUCAAGUUUUGCUGAAACUCCAACCUUAUGCCCAACAAACGGUGGUCAAUCGUUCAUAUCCCAAAUUAUCCUACAAGUAUUUCGGUCCCUAUACUGUUCUGGAGCGCAUUGGUGCUGUCGCAUACAGACUACAAUUACCAGUUUCAGCUCAAGUACACCCAGUCUUUCAUGUGUCCCAAUUGAAGCCAUUUACUCCAAACUACACUCCUGUGUAUACGGAUAUUCCUGCCGUGCCGGAUUUGACAACAGUAGCACCGGUACCUGUUGCAAUCCUUGAUCGUCGGAUGGUACGCAAGGGCAAUGCAGCAGCACCUCAAGUUCUCAUUCAAUGGGCACAUGUUCCUCCAGAGUGUGCUACCUGGGAGGAUUACUACGUCGUCAAAAGCAGAUUUCCCGAAGCUCUUCUGUGGGACGAUGAGCAAGCUCAAGCGGGGGGCAAUGUCACGCCUUCCUCCAAUUCGGCGGACAGCGAGUCGCCGGCUCCAGACUCCCUGACGAGUGGACCGGCGAACGACGAUGACGUGGACGAUGAAUAG
This 3408-nucleotide ribosomal RNA is filed under the name Triticum aestivum (bread wheat). RNAcentral describes it as "partial small subunit ribosomal RNA". The record is from RNAcentral. Lineage: Eukaryota; Viridiplantae; Streptophyta; Magnoliopsida; Poales; Poaceae.